Molecule: ribosomal RNA, 427 nt
Filed under: uncultured bacterium
Lineage: Bacteria
Description: partial 16S ribosomal RNA
Rfam family: Bacterial small subunit ribosomal RNA
Source: RNAcentral
UGGGGAAUAUUGGACAAUGGGCGAAAGCCUGAUCCAGCCAUGCCGCGUGUGUGAAGAAGGUCUUCGGAUUGUAAAGCACUUUAAGCUGGGAGGAAGGGUUGUAGAUUAAUACUCUGCAAUUUUGACGUUACCGACAGAAUAAGCACCGGCUAACUCUGUGCCAGCAGCCGCGGUAAAACAGAGGGUGCAAGCGUUAAUCGGAAUUACUGGGCGUAAAGCGCGCGUAGGUGGUUUGUUAAGUUGGAUGUGAAAGCCCCGGGCUCAACCUGGGAACUGCAUCCAAAACUGGCAAGCUAGAGUACGGUAGAGGGUGGUGGAAUUUCCUGUGUAGCGGUGAAAUGCGUAGAUAUAGGAAGGAACACCAGUGGCGAAGGCGACCACCUGGACUGAUACUGACACUGAGGUGCGAAAGCGUGGGGAGCAAACA